This 460-nucleotide ribosomal RNA is filed under the name uncultured Gammaproteobacteria bacterium. RNAcentral's name for it is "bacterial SSU rRNA". It matches the Rfam family "Bacterial small subunit ribosomal RNA", at positions 44 to 495 of the family's 1533-position model. The record is from RNAcentral. Lineage: Bacteria; Pseudomonadati; Pseudomonadota; Gammaproteobacteria.
AGGCCUAACACAUGCAAGUCGAGCGGUAACAGGGGUAGCUUGCUACCCGCUGACGAGCGGCGGACUGGUGAGUAAUGCUUAGGAAUCUGCCUGGUAGAGGGGGAUAGCCCGGGGAAACCCGGAUUAAUACCGCAUACGCCCUACGGGGGAAAGCAGGGGAUCUUCGGACCUUGCGCUAUUAGAUGAGCCUAAGUCGGAUUAGCUAGUUGGUGGGGUAAAGGCCUACCAAGGCGACGAUCCGUAGCUGGUCUGAGAGGAUGAUCAGCCACAUCGGGACUGAGACACGGCCCGAACUCCUACGGGAGGCAGCAGUGGGGAAUAUUGGACAAUGGGGGAAACCCUGAUCCAGCCAUGCCGCGUGUGUGAAGAAGGCUUUCGGGUUGUAAAGCACUUUCAGUGAGGAGGAAGGCCUUGUCGCUAAUAUCGGCAAGGAUUGACGUUACUCACAGAAGAAGCACCG